CUGAAUUGUCAACAAGAGUUGUUGCUGGUCCCCAAAUGGGGACACGUGCACGCUCUGUUAACACAUCCACUCACACCUGUGCACCCUCUGUAGUUCUAUGGUUGGGGGGGACCCGUCUUCUCCUGCUGUGGUUCUGCAUCUUUACAUACACACUGUAACAAAGUCUCAUGGAAUGCAUGCCGCGUUUAACGCAAUAAAAUA
This 201-nucleotide unclassified non-coding RNA is filed under the name uncultured Tomentella. RNAcentral's name for it is "sequence contains ITS1". Lineage: Eukaryota; Fungi; Basidiomycota; Agaricomycetes; Thelephorales; Thelephoraceae. The record is from RNAcentral.